CCUUUUUUUUUUUAAAUUCCAGAGAUGCCUUGAAAAAGGUAAGUCAGAGGCUCAGGGAGCCUGUCAGUGGUCGGAGGGAAGCUGCAGGAAAAGAGACAAGGCAGUGGUCAAGUGCAGAAGCUUCCACCAGAGGCAAAUCCUCGCACCUCGCCUGGGUGCUCUUUGGAGACAGGAAGACACUGACUGACUGUAGAACAGGCAGGAUGGGAAUUUGGAAAGAGGCUGCUGGCUGCAGAUGGAGAUGGCCCUGAUGGUUUGAGGUUUGGAGCUGAGUCCCCACAACAGAAGGGCUUCUGUCCCUCCUGUGUCCGGUGUGGGGGAGUGGACUCCUCGAGUCACCACCAAGUACCUAGAGGUCUGGAGGCUCUGUCUAUGUCUACAGGACACCUGUCCCCAAAGUUCAAUUCAUGCCUCUGCCUAUGAGGCCCCCAGGUAGUGAGGCCAUGAAGACCAACCUCCUACACGCUGAAGUCCUGGCAAAUCUGAGGGCCCCCAGAGCCCUUGGAAUCAGAGACCCAGAGUGGCCACUUAUUAUAGAGAAAAUAGAAGCGUCAUUACAGCCAUUAUCAUGUGAAAAGAUCAAGUAUACUUCAUGUUGGGAAAACUUCAUUUACAAAAUUCAAAUGGACUGAGGUAGGUCAACAAGUAAGACAAUGAAAGUCUUACUGGGGGAUUAGGUGAAAACUGCCCUAGAGAUUUGCAGACCACUCCCUCCAUACAGGAUUUUAGGAAAAGUGCUGGGCUAUGGAGAGAAUGAAAAGAAUUCUUACUCUAGUUCAGAUGUCGGUGCAGCAGGCAGUCAGAUGAGAUGGUCACUAAACAUGGAGGGCAUCAGAGGGGGUCUGGUGGAGGACGUGGAACUUGAGUAGAGCUUGGUCAUGGCAUGGGGGUGGGGACGAGGUUCCAGGCAGCUGCCACCAAGAGGGCAAAUGCAAAGAGGUGGCAAUGUACACGGCAUGUUUUGUAAACAAAGACUAGUUGGCUGGAACAUGGGUUUGCAUACGGAAAUAGUGAGGAAUGAGGUCAAGUGGGUGGGAUAGAAUCUUCUCGGAUUGUACACCAGCCCACAGAUGCCAGUUAAUGAUUGGAUUCAAAGGGAGGGUGAGCCGGACUCUAAGAUUCUUUCGGAAAAUCACCAGGCUAAGAUUCUCUGGAACAGGGCUGGGAAAGGCACGAAAUCAGAACAUUUUGAUAAUGUGACUCAUCUAGCAAUCACAGAUUACUGCCAAGCUGUUCCACAGAAUAAAAACAUCACAAAGCCCAGGUAGGACAGAGUAAAUAGGUCCGUGGAUCUAGCAAGAGAAAUAAAAGGAAUACAGAAAUCAGUGUCAAGGGGAGUGUGAAGUUGAGGCAGGUAUUCACAUAUACACUGAGUGCCCUUGACCCAGGCUUUGAUGGACAGCAGGGUUAGAAUGGACACCUUCAGUGGCUUCUCUGAUCCCAGCCCCCCAGAGUAUGUAUGAACUCUACUUGUCUUCCUAUCGCAGUCCCCCUUGCCAAGGGCUGACCCUGCACUUGGGAGCCUGCACACACUCCCAGGAUGUCUCAUCCCUGCUCUGCUGGUCCCUCCCAGGGCCCCUGGUGGAUUCCUGCCCCAUCUGAAGGCAGGGUCCCACUACCACCAGUCACAGCCCAGCACGCCUCCUCCCUCCCACCAGCUCAGCAUUUUGUGUCUCUCUGGACCAAAGCCUUUCCUUCCUCUCUUUGCUGGUGGCUAAAAGUCUAAUUUGCUUUUCUUUUCUCUCUAGAAUGUCAGCAUGAAGGCAGAGGGGCGGUCUCUUGAGUCCUGUAACCCUGAAGCCUACCUCCGCGCCCACUAUACUGAAGGGCUUGGUGGAUGUUUACUUACUGAACUGAAUAGUAGUCACAAGGCCCUUUGAGACAGCUUGGGGGUUAGAAUUCAAGGCUUCUGUAGCCAGGGGAUACAUGAUUGGGGAGAACAUGUCAUAAGAAUGGGGAGUAAUUGAGACAGUUUGGGGGUAGGGAGGGGUGUGCACUGCCAGGCUAGUGCAAGUAUGCCUGGGAGUUAGAGCCAGAGAUGGAAGGGACAUCUUAGGAGAUGGGGUAAAACCUGCCAUGAUCCAGACACAGAGUCCAUACGGAGUACCCACAGAAAAAGGCCAGGAGGAGAGGAGACAGGUUUGUCAUAGGACCAUACAGGACAGGGAAAAGAGGCAGCUCCGGAGAGUGGACCCCAUAGUAUGUGCAGCUGAGAAGCAGAAAAAUAUGAUUUCUACAGCUGGUGUUAUAGGCUGAAUGUUGGUGUUCCGCCCCCAAAUGCAUACAGUGAAAUGCUUAUUCCCAGUGUGAUAGGAUUUGGAAAUAAAGCCUUUGAGAGAUGAUGCAGGUUAGAUGAGGUCGUGAAGGUGGGCCGCUCAUGAUGGGAUUGGCACCUUUCUCAGGAGAGGAGGAGCCACCAGAGCUCUCUCUCUCCAGGGUCCUGCACUGAGGAGAGCCCACAGGAGGACUCAGUGAGAAGGCAGCCAUCUUCAAACCAGGAAGAGAGCCCUCACCAGAGCCUGACCAUGCUGGCACCUUAACCUUGGACUUCCAGCCUCCAGAGCAGUGAGAAAUAAAUGCCUGUUGUUUAAGCCACCCAGUCCACGGCAUUUUGCUGUAACAGCUAGAGCCGACUAAGACAGGUGACUGGAUAGAAAUUCCACGGAUGACGGGAUCUUCAGAGAAAAUCUCAAGCAGAGGUGCCAUGGUUCCAGGUUUUGUACAAGGGUGUGUGAGUUCCUAAGGGCCAGGGCAGAGCUCCCAGGGCUUCUGAGCGAGGAUAUUCUCAUGUCUUGGGCAGAGGAGCCCUCGAGUGACAGCCCUCAGCCAUCCGCUGUUUUAUGGUCAUCCUCGGGGACCGAAAGGCCAGAUUCUAGACCAGAUCUCUCUGCGAAGCAAUAUCGGGCCAAGAGUGAGCCCAGGGUGAGUCGCAGGAGCCUGGGAUGGCCAGAAGCCGCUCAAGAAACUUUUCUCCAGCGUCCGGAUUAUUGGAAGCGGUGCGCUCGGUCUCGGUCCCGCGAAAAAGGCCCGCGGCCACCUGCGCCCCGGAUCCUGCUCCAGGAAAAGCUUCAAGGGAAGCUCUCCCCGCAAAGCCGAACUCAGAAAUGGUAGUAUCUUGGGAAAGGGGGGAAGCCUCUGAGACCUAGGAGAGAAAUGGGCUUUAGAAACAGGAGGGCUCAUCUUAUGCAUUUGGCUCUAAAUGUAAGUAAUGGCAUCAAGUCAAUUGAUCAGAAAGACAGAGUGUCUCUUGCUGAGGUUUGUUUAGAGAGCAUUUAGGAAAGAAAGAGUCGACAGCCUUGAAUUGUUUGAGCUACGUUUUAGGUGAUUUCCUUUGAUUUAUCAGCAUUAAAUUAAAUGAGAAAGCCUCAUCCUCUGUGCAUCUCAGGUUUAUUUCUUUCUUUGUUUAGCGGGGAGACCCUCAGCCUCCUCAAGAGAGAGAACAGACCUCUGCCCCAGGCUGGGCCGGGGGCGGACGGCUCCCUCCAGAAACCUAAGGGCGAUUUGCGUCUGAGCUAAUGGAAAUUCGGUUUCUCACCGUCUGGGUCUGUUGCUGAUUAAAAAUAAAGUAAAA
Molecule: long non-coding RNA, 3571 nt
Organism: Phacochoerus africanus (Common warthog)
Lineage: Eukaryota; Metazoa; Chordata; Mammalia; Artiodactyla; Suidae
Exons: 6
Source: RefSeq, a predicted model, not a curated record